RNAcentral lists this ribosomal RNA (496 nucleotides) under uncultured bacterium. RNAcentral describes it as "partial 16S ribosomal RNA". It matches the Rfam family "Bacterial small subunit ribosomal RNA", at positions 29 to 507 of the family's 1533-position model. The record is from RNAcentral.
AUGAACGCUGGCGGCGUGCCUCAUACCUGCCAGUCGAGCGAACAGAUGAGGAGCUUGCUCCUCUGACGUUAGCGGCGGACGGGUGAGUAACACGUGGAUAACCUACCUAUAAGACUGGGAUAACUUCGGGAAACCGGAGCUAAUACCGGAUAAUAUAUUGAACCGCAUGGUUCAAUAGUGAAAGACGGUUUUGCUGUCACUUAUAGAUGGAUCCGCGCCGCAUUAGCUAGUUGGUAAGGUAACGGCUUACCAAGGCAACGAUGCGUAGCCGACCUGAGAGGGUGAUCGGCCACACUGGAACUGAGACACGGUCCAGACUCCUACGGGAGGCAGCAGUAGGGAAUCUUCCGCAAUGGGCGAAAGCCUGACGGAGCAACGCCGCGUGAGUGAUGAAGGUCUUCGGAUCGUAAAACUCUGUUAUUAGGGAAGAACAAAUGUGUAAGUAACUAUGCACGUCUUGACGGUACCUAAUCAGAAAGCCACGGCUAACUACGUG